Molecule: ribosomal RNA, 504 nt
Filed under: uncultured bacterium
Lineage: Bacteria
Description: partial 16S ribosomal RNA
Rfam family: Bacterial small subunit ribosomal RNA
Source: RNAcentral
AUUGAACGCUGGCGGCAUGCCUAACACAUGCAAGUCGAACGGCAGCGCGGGUAGCUUGCUACCUGGCGGCGAGUGGCGGACGGGUGAGUAAUAUGUAGGAAUCUACCUAGAGGAGCGGGAUAACUUGGGGAAACUUAAGCUAAUACCACAUAAUCCCCACGGGGGAAAGCAGGGGACCUUCGGGCCUUGCGCCUUAUGAUGAGCCUACAUCGGAUUAGCUUGUUGGUGGGGUAAAGGCCUACCAAGGCGACGAUCCGUAGCUGGUCUGAGAGGAUGAUCAGCCACACUGGAACUGGGACACGGUCCAGGCUCCUACGGGAGGCAGCGGUGGGGAAUAUUGGACAAUGGGGGGAACCCUGAUCCAGCAAUGCCGCGUGUGUGAAGAAGGCCUUAGGGUUGUAAAGCACUUUCAGUGGAGAGGAAGUUGCGUGUGCUAAUAUCAUACGUAAUUGACGUUACCCACAGAAGAAGCACCGGCUAACUCUGUGCCAGCCGCCGCAGUAA